This 398-nucleotide ribosomal RNA is filed under the name uncultured bacterium. RNAcentral's name for it is "bacterial SSU rRNA". It matches the Rfam family "Bacterial small subunit ribosomal RNA", at positions 767 to 1166 of the family's 1533-position model. The record is from RNAcentral.
AGCUAAUAGAUACCCGGGUAGUCCACGCCCUAAACGAUGUCUACUAGUUGUUGGUGGAGUAAAAUCCAUGAGUAAACGCAGCUAAACGCGUGAAGUAGACCGCCUGGGGAGUACGGUCGCAAGAUUAAAACUCAAAGGAAUUGACGGGGGCCCGUACAAGCGGUGGAUUAUGUGGAUUAAUUCGAUGCAACGCGAAAAACCUUACCUGGCCUUGACAUGCCACUAACGAAGCAGAGAUGCAUUAGGUGCCCGUAAGGGAAAGUGGACACAGGUGCUGCAUGGCUGUCGUCAGCUCGUGUCGUGAGAUGUUGGGUUAAGUCCCGCAACGAGCGCAACCCUUGCCAUUAAUUGCCAUCAUUUAGUUGGGCACUUUAAUGGGACUGCCGGUGACAAACCGG